CAUUGGCUCAANCAAUGUAUGCUUUGGAAACUGUUAGACUUGAGUGCAGAAGGGGAGAGUGGAAUUCCAUGUGUAGCGGUGAAAUGCGUAGACAUAUGGAGGAACACCGGUGGCGAAAGCGGCUCUCUGGUCUGUCACUGACGCUGAGGCUCGAAAGCGUGGGUAGCGAACAGGAUUAGAUACCCUGGUAGUCCACGCCGUAAACGCUGAGUGCUAGGUGUUAGGUCCUUUCCGGGACUUAGUGCCGACGCUAACGCAUUAAGCACUCCGCCUGGGGAGUACGACCGCGAGGUUGAAACUCAAAGGAAUUGACGGGGGCCCGCACAAGCGGUGGAGCAUGUGGUUUAAUUCGAAGCAACGCGAAGAACCUUACCAGGUCUUGACAUCCCGAUGCCCGCUCUAGAGAUAGAGUUUUUCUUCGGAACAUCGGAGACAGGUGGUGCAUGGUUGUCGUCAGCUCGUGUCGUGAGAUGUUGGGUUAAGUCCCGCAACGAGCGCAACCCUUAUUGUUAGUUGCCAUCAUUAAGUUGGGCACUCUAGCGAGACUGCCGGUAAUAAACCGGAGGAAGGUGGGGAUGACGUCAAAUCAUCAUGCCCCUUAUGACCUGGGCUACACACGUGCUACAAUGGUUGGUACAACGAGUCGCAAGCCGGUGACGGCAAGCUAAUCUCUGAAAGCCAAUCUCAGUUCGGAUUGUAGGCUGCAACUCGCCUACAUGAAGUCGGAAUCG
RNAcentral lists this ribosomal RNA (731 nucleotides) under uncultured bacterium. RNAcentral's name for it is "bacterial SSU rRNA". It matches the Rfam family "Bacterial small subunit ribosomal RNA", at positions 602 to 1334 of the family's 1533-position model. The record is from RNAcentral.